GUAAAAGAUUUUUCAAAUAUUCCAGCAAUACAGGUAUCAAAAAUAUUAAUAAUGAGAAAAGAUACCAUGUGUAAAAUAGGUGUUAAGAAUAACAUUAUGCUGGACUUUAUAGGUAUCUCCAUCUUCUCCUUAGACACUUCCUCACUUCUC
Molecule: long non-coding RNA, 150 nt
Organism: Ochotona princeps (American pika)
Lineage: Eukaryota; Metazoa; Chordata; Mammalia; Lagomorpha; Ochotonidae
Exons: 3
Source: RefSeq, a predicted model, not a curated record